UGGGGAAUUUUGGACAAUGGGCGCAAGCCUGAUCCAGCAAUGCCGCAUGCAGGAUGAAGGCCUUCGGGUUGUAAACUGCUUUUGUACGGAACGAAACGGCUCUGUCUAAUACAUGGGGCUAAUGACGGUACCGUAAGAAUAAGCACCGGCUAACUACGUGCCAGCAGCCGCGGUAAUACGUAGGGUGCAAGCGUUAAUCGGAAUUACUGGGCGUAAAGCGUGCGCAGGCGGUUGUGUAAGACAGAUGUGAAAUCCCCGGGCUCAACCUGGGAACUGCAUUUGUGACUGCACAGCUGGAGUGCGGCAGAGGGGGAUGGAAUUCCGCGUGUAGCAGUGAAAUGCGUAGAUAUGCGGAGGAACACCGAUGGCGAAGGCAAUCCCCUGGGCCUGCACUGAUGCUCAUGCACGAAAGCGUGGGGAGCAAACA
Molecule: ribosomal RNA, 427 nt
Filed under: uncultured bacterium
Lineage: Bacteria
Description: bacterial SSU rRNA
Rfam family: Bacterial small subunit ribosomal RNA
Source: RNAcentral